ACAAAUGACGUCAUAAGCAAGUAUUCUCGUUCUUUUGAUCUAGGCAUGACAGUUGUGAAAAUAUCGACUUGUUGACCGCUUUGUUGAUCUUGUCACAAAAUUUUGUUACCGUAAAAAAUACAGGAUAAAGGAAGGGAUUGUUACAUCUAUGCAGCAACUUGUCAACGAAUAGUCAAGGUCUUGGCGGAUGUUUUGAGCGCACAGUAACAAACACUGGUCUAAGUGUAUCAACGCAGGAAGCUAAAUAAAAAGAUACACGUGAUUACAUCUGCUGAUCGGAAGGAGUUGCUGAGGAUGUAAAAAACAAGCCAUAUUUUGGGGAAAUGGAGUAGGAAGACGUUGGCUGGUUGCAGUGACAUUUUAACAGUACCGCAGUAGAUGUUUAGGAAGUGCUGAUAGACGAAGCUAUGAUUACCUAGUAGAGCAAAACAGUUCCGCAAUCCAGAAUUCCAGAAACAAAGGAUGCAUCAUAGUUGGACUAGUGUAAACGGAAUUAAUGCAGUGGACUUUUAUUUGUUGGACAAUCCAUAUUAUUAGUUUGACAAUUGAUUUAUAAAGACACCUGUCAAAAUGUAUUAGGCAGGUAUAAAACAAAAUAAAAGGCUUCUUAUGGUCAACCUUCAUACUAUAGUAGCCUGCUGUCAGAAAAUUACCUCUUACAUUAUUUAGGUAAAGAGUAAAGGUGACAGGUAUCUCAUUACUGCAGACUAUCUGGAAUAAUGAUCUUUCCUCGGACAUUUAAAUGUAAAGGCUAAUUGCAGGUGGCUAGUAGAUGAAACCUGUUAUUCUAGCGACCAGUAGGUUUAAGGUCAAGGUCGGGUGAGCGAUUAGGAUCGAUGAAUGUCCGUUGUCCGUCCGUUCAAUUUAGUCUGUUUACACUCUAGCAUCAACAAUUUUAAAGCAAUUUUAAUCAAAAUCAAAGGAAAAUCUUGUAAAAACUCUAGAUGUCACAUUUAUGAACAUAUCUUUCUGAAACUUGGUUUAGAACGUUUAUCUUGACAAUCUUUAUGAAAUUUUCGAAACUGGUUCAAGUGAGGUCAGAAACAAGGUCACUUGGCCAGAUUAAAGAAAAAACUUGUUAACUCUCUGGAAACCACUUUUUAAAUUUGAAACUCUUGAUAGUCAGAUUUUUGUUUUAGGUUAAAUUUGAUUCUGUGUCGAAUCAAAGGAAAACUGUAUAUGUGUGUGUAAUAGGGUGUGCAUUUUACACUGAAUCUUCAUGAAAUUUGAUCAGAAUGUUUACCUUGCUGUAAUCAAGGUCAGCUUUGAAUAUGGGUUAUCUGAGUCAAAAACUAGGUCACCCGAUUAAAUCAAAGAAAACUCUGUGUGUAUGCAAUAAGGGCAGCAUUUUAUGCUGGAUCUUUAUAAAAUCUGAUCAGAAUGUUUGUCUUGAUGCAAUCUAGAUCAAGUGUGAAUAUGGGUCAUCUGGGGUAAAAAAAUAGGUAACCCGGUCAAAUAAAAAAGAGCAAAACCUUGUGUGCAAUAGAGGCCGCAUUUUUCACUGAUCUUCAUGAAAUUUGAUCAGAAUGUUUGUUUUAAUAAAAUCUAGGUCAAGUUUGAAUUUGUAUCAUCUGGGGUAAAAAAAUAGUUCACCUGGUCGAAACAAAGAUAAACUGUGCGUAUGCAAUGGGGGCUGCAUUUUUCACUGAAUAUUCGGUAAAUUCGAUCAGAAUGUUUGUCUUGAUUAUCUUUAGGCCAAGUUUGAAACUGGGUCAUGUGGGGUCAAAAACUAGGUCAUGAGGCCAGAUUUAAGGAAAAUCUUGUUAACACUCUGGAGACCACACAAGUUUAAAACUCAUGAGAAUUAGUCAGAAUGUUUGUCUUGAUGACUUCCCACAUUUUGCAAAUCCAUUUUAAUCAAACUUGCACACAACUUGUAUUGGCAUAAUAUCUCGUUGUCUUUCGAAAACUAGGCAGAUCACAUUUUGGGCUCCAGAGUUAUGGCCCCUUAGAGGGCCAAAAUUUGCUAUUUAUGGCUUGUGAACACGAAAGAGACCACACUUUUGUAACAAACUUUAAUCAAACUUGCACACAAUUUGUAUUGGCAUAAUAUAUAUCGGAUUCUUUCGAAAACUAGGCAGAUCCCACCAUGGGUUCCAGAGUUAUGACCCUUUAAAGGGCCAAAGUUGCUGUUUUUAGCUCACAUAGUGACAAGGUGAGCUUUUGUGAUCACACUUCGUCCGUCGUCCGUCGUCAGUCCGUCCGUGCGUGCAUCCGUCAACAAUUUCUUGUCUGCACGAUAGUGGUUUCAUUUAUGAUUUUAUUUUAACCAAACUUGCACACAACUUGUAUCACCAUAAGAUCUCGGUUCCUUCCUUGAACUGGCCAGAUCCCAUUAUGGGUUCCAGAGUUAUGGCCCCUGAAAGGGCCAAAAUUAGCUAUUUUGACCUUGUCUGCAUAAUAGCAGCUUUAUUUAUGAUUUGAUUUUUACUAAACUUGCACACAAUUUGUAUCACCAUAACAUCUUGAUUCCUUUCUUGAACUGGCCAGAUUCCUUUAUGGGUUCCAGAGUUACGGCCCCUGAAAGGACCAGAAUUAGCUAUUUUGACCUUGUCUGCACAAUAGCAGCUUCAUUUAUGAUUUGAUUUUAACCAGACUUGCACACAACUUGUAUCACCACAAGAUCUUGGUUCCUUUCUUGAACUCGCCAGAUUUCAUCAUGGGUUCCAGAGUUAUUGCCCCUUAACUGUCCAAAAUAGGCUAUUUUGGCUUUUGCAGCCAUAUAGAGACUUCAUUUAUGGUUUGAUUUGAUACAAACUUCCAAAAUAACUUCAACAACAAUAAUUCUUGGAUUUCAUGACAAAUCAGAUCCAAGCUUAGGUUCAGAGUUAUUUUAUAUCUGAUUACCUCCCCUGAUUGUAAUCAAAAUGGAUUUAUAUCAGUAAGUACUUAUAGGGCUUAUUUGAAAUUCCAUUAUUGUCAUUAGUUGGACUGAGCCAAUCAGGGUAGAUAACUAUGGACUGAUUUUAUGUCAAAUUACCUCCCUUUAUUAAUCCCCCGCCGUGGCAGAGGGAUUAUAGGAAUGGUCUGCGUCCGUCCUUCCGUCGUCCGUCCGUAACAAAAUCGUGUCCGGUCCAUAUCUCCUAAACCCCUUGAAGGAUUUUCAUGAAACUUGGGUCAAAUGAUCACCUCAUCAAGACGAUGUGCAGUACCCAUGAGUCAGCUUUGUCGGUUCAAGGUCAAGGUCACAACUCAAGGUCAAAGGUUUGAGCCUGCCAUUUUGUGUCCGCUCUAUAUCUCCUAAACCCCUUGAAGGAAUUUAAUAAAACUUAGGUCAAAUGAUCACCUCAUCAAGACGAUGUGCAGAAUCUAUGAGUCAGCCAUGCUGGCUCAAGGUCAAGGUCACAACUCAAGGUCAAAGGUUUGAGCCUUCCAUUUUGUAUCCACUCUAUAUCUCUUAAACCCCUUGAAGGAAUUUUAUAAAACUUGGGUCAAAUGAUCACCUCAUCAAGACGAUGUGCAGAACCCAUGAGUCAGUCAUGCCGGCUCAAGGUCAAGGUCACAACUUGGGGUCAAAUGUUUGAGCCUUCCAUUUUGUGUCCGCUCUAUAUCUCCUAAACCCCUUGAAGGAUUUUCAUCAAACUUGGGUCAAACGAUCACCUCAUCAAGGCGAUAUGCAGAACUUAUGAGUCAGCCAUGUCGGCUGAAGGUCAAGGUCACAACUGAAGGUCAAAUGUUUGAGCCUUCCAUUUCGUGUCCGCUCUAUAUCUCCUAAACCCCUUGAAGGAAUUUUAUAAAACUUGGGUCAAAUGAUUACCUCAUCAGAACGAUGUGCAGAAAUUAUGAGUCAACCAUGCCAGCUUAAGGUCAAGGUCACAACUAAGGGUCGAAGGUUUGAGUUCCAUUUGGUGUCCACUCUGUAUCUCCUUAACCCCUUGAAGGAUUUUCAUCAAACUUGGGUCAAAUGAUCACCUCAUCAAGAACUCAUGAGUCAGCCAUGUCAACUCAAGGUCAAGGUCACAACUGAAGGUCAAAGGUUUCAGCUCUGUAUCUCCUAAACCCCUUGAAGGAUUUUUAUGAAACUUUGGUCAAAUGAUCACCUCAUCAAGACGUUGUGCAGAAUUCAUCAGUCAGCCAUGUCAGUUCAAGGUCAAGGUCACAGCUAAAAUCGAAGGUUUACCCUUUCACUAUCCAUAGCAGUGGCGGGGGAUUUAGCUGUCUUUCAGACUGCCUUGUUUCAAAUUAAAAUGGGUAUAUCUCCGUAACUAACGAAGAUACUGAUCUGAAAUUUCAUUUAUGUCAACAGAUUUAUUUGGCAGAUCCUUAUUUUGUUCACUUACAAUAUUUUUUUUUAUUACUUUCCUUUUACGUUACUAUAAAUAGCUUAUAUUUAGUAACUUUUUUAUUAUUGGCCAUAGGGAAAAACCGAGACCACUUUUCUGUGGUACAGCAUGGAUGGUACCUCCAAUUUGUAGGUGUAUUUUGACAUAUCUGGGCCUUGUAAGAAUUUUUUUUUCUUUUUGGUUAAAUUUCUUCCCUUUGUUGUUACUGUCCUUUGGGCUUAGAUAUUUUUUCUGAGGACCUUCUUGUCCUCAAGUGCAAUGAUAACAGGUGAGCGAUAUAGGGCCAUCAUGGCCCUCUUGUUUGGCUUGUGAACACGAUAAAGACCACAUUUUGCAAUUAUUUUUAAUCAAACUAUGCACACAAUUUGUAUUAGCAUAAUAUUUCGGUUCCUUUCGAAAACUAGGCAGACCCUAUCAUGGGUGCUAAAGUUAUGGCUCCUUGCAGGGCCAAAAUUUGCUAUUUUUGGCUUGUGAACACGAUAGAGACCACAUUUUGUAACCAACUUUAAUCAAACUUGCACACAACUUGCACACAACUUGUAUUGGCAUAAUAUCUCGGCUCCCUUCGAAAACUGGCUAGAUUUCAUCAUGGGUUCGAGAGUUAUGGCCCAUUAAAUGGCCAAAAUUUGCUAUUUUUGGCUUGUGAACUCGAAACAGACGUUUUGAAAUUGAUUUUAACUAAACUUGUAAACAAUUUGUAUUGGCGUAAUAACGUGGUUCCUUUCGAAAACUGACCAGAUCCCAUCACAGAGUUAUGGCCCUUUAAAGGGCCAAAAUGUGCUAUUUUGGCUUUUGCAGCCAUAUAGAGACUUCAUUUAUGGUUUGAUUUGAAACAAACUUGCAGAAUAUUUUUAACAACAAUAUCUCUUGGAUUCCUUGACCCUCUUGUUUACUGAUUAUUCGUGGACUUUGAUCAGAAUGUUUGUCUUGGUAAAAUCUAGGUCGUUAUGAGGCCCCUUCCGCACGCUCAGGAAUCUACAUUUUUAGUUGUUUUUAUACGAAAAUUAUAUCUCGGGUGGGGAACUCCGAACCCCCUCCCCCACCAUUUUUAUAGGAGAUAUUCCCUCCUUUUAUCUCUCUCUUUUUUGUACGUAAUGUAAAAAUGAGCACAGCCCCUGAUAUAGAAAAAAAAACCUACCAAAAUACGUUCCAUUCCAUGAUCCUUAACACAGGAUAUAUAGGCCUAGCACAUGUACGAAACUACGUCUUUUGAUAUCAGGCACAAACUCUCCUCGUUUUUUUUUGUCGGGAUAUAUAAACAAAAGAAGUAUUUUGUUAAAGUACUCGGUAUUGAUUAAAAAGUUUAAAUCGUUUUAUUCUCUUCAAACAUGCAUUUUCAAACUUCUUGCAAACUGUUCUGUUGACACUUCCGCUGAUAGUCGCGGAUCAAUGUAUCUGCGCGUCAAGUACCACGGGUGAAACUAUGCAGUGUGAUUGAUUCAUAACACCUUAAACGUGUUAAGGUACUUCCGCAAAUUGACAUUAGAAAUUCAUGUGAAAAAUCAGAAUCCUCGAAACAGCUUUCGAAAUGCAAGGACACAAAAAAUAUAUGAUAAAAGUUGAAAAGAUAUAUCUGUAGGUAAACUUGCGAGCAUGAAAGCUACGCUGAACCCUAUCUCCACAGUGCUUUGGAAGAAAAUGAGUGAACAUUUUUGGUGCAAAAUUUCGGUAUCGUAUGCAACCUAAAUUGCUAUAAAAUAUUUAUUUUCAAAUCAAAGAAAUGCCAAAAUAGUGCACACGAGCGUUACUUUUUCAAGAAAAUGUCGUUAAACAUUCUAAUGCGCAAAACACGUGCACAGUUUUUCUAAAAUAUUUCGCCGCCAUGUUUAUUUCAAGGAAUUAAAUAUAUGAUUUGUUCUUUUACCUCAGAUUUUCUUACUGAAAUAUAUGUGCCUCCUUAUUCAUGGUUAGAGAUAUCCAUUUAGUAUAGUUUAGCACUGCCCGAUCUCCUUAAUCUGUUACCGAUCCUUUACAUUUAAAGAAUAAACGCAAUGUGUAAUGAUAGUUUUUCGCUUUACACAUCACCUUUGGACAAGAAAGGCGUUUCACUUAAAAUUUGUAAGUAUCCGCUGGCAAAAUAUUAUUGAAAGAUCGGAACUUUUUCUAAAAUAAAGUUCAAUUUCAAUCAUUUUCAAAAAACUGGAAAUAUUGCACAUUGUGUUGAAUACAUAAAUAAAACAAAAAUCCCCAAAAUAAACCAUUUUAGAACUUUUCCGGGAACUGUGGGUCAUCUGGGUUUAGAAACAACGUCACCCGGUCAAAAAAAGGAAAAAGAAAUACUCUGUGUGUGUGUGUGUGUGUGUGCAACAGGAGCUGCAUUUUUCACUGAAUAUUCGUGAAAUUCGAUGAGAAUGAUAUUCUUGAAAAAAUCUAGGUCAAGUUUAAAUAUUGGUCAUCUGUCGUUAAAAACUAGGUCACCAAGUCAAAUCUGACAAAAACGUUGUGUAAGCAAUUGGGGCUGCGUUUUCUAACUGGAUAUUUGUGAAAUUUGAACAGAUUGUUUGUCUUGAUCAGAUCUUGGUAAAGUUUAAAUAUAGGUCAUAUGGGGUCAAAAAGUUGGAUCAUUCUGUCAACUUAUAGAAAAACUUGGUGUGUGCAAGAGGGGCUGCAUUUUUAUCUGAUAUGCAUGAAACUUGGUCAGGAUGUUUGUCUCCAUGAAAUCUCUAGUUUGUUUAUCUGGGUUACGUCGGUUCAAAAACUAGGUCACCAUGUCAGAAAAAGCUUGUUUACACACUAGGGCCACAUUUUUUAUUUAAUAUUUAUUGAACUUGGCCAGAAAGUUUGUUUUCACAAAGUCUUAGAGGAUUUUGAAUCUUGGUUACGUGGGGUCAAACACUAGGUUACUAGGUCAAAUCAAGGGAAAGGCUUGUUUACACUGUAGAUGCCACUCUUUUGCUCCAAUCUUUACAAAUCUUUGUUAGAAUUUUUGUUUCUGUAAAAUCUUGGACGAGUUGUAAUUUGGGUCUUAUGAGUCAAAAACUAGGUCACUAUGCCAAAUCUUGUUUAUACACUAAAGUAUACAUUUGUGCUCCAAUAUUCAUGUAACUUGGGCAGAAUGUUUAUUACAUGAAAAACUCGGACGAAUUUGAAAUGGAUGUUUACACUGUUAUGGUGUGUUUCUCAGGCGAGCGACCUAGGGCCAUUUUUGCCUUCUUGCGUAUGAUUUUUUUUCACUGGCAUCGACGCAGAUUUGUGGAAUUUUCAAAUUUACUGUCCUUAAUUAUGCCAAUAGAAUUUGAUGUCUUAUAAAAUUAUUAGUUAUUUUGUGAUGCUAUGACUUGUAUAUUGUGUGACAUGUUAUGUAUAAAUCAAAACUAAUAAAAAAAUGUAUAUUACGAG
This is a long non-coding RNA of Mercenaria mercenaria, 7622 nucleotides long. RefSeq lists it as uncharacterized. The transcript has 4 exons. Lineage: Eukaryota; Metazoa; Mollusca; Bivalvia; Venerida; Veneridae. The record is from RefSeq and is a predicted model, not a curated record.